UUGAGUUUGAUCCUGGCUCAGGAUGAACGCUGGCGGCGUGCCUAACACAUGCAAGUCGAACGAAGCGCUUUUCCCGAAUUUUCGAAGGAGGGGAGAGUGACUGAGUGGCGGACGGGUGAGUAACGCGUGGGGAACCUGCCCUGUACCGGGGGAUAACAGCCGGAAACGGCUGCUAAUACCGCAUAAGCGCACAGUGCCGCAUGGCACGGUGUGAAAAACCACGGUGGUACAGGAUGGCCCCGCGUCUGAUUAGUUGGUUGGCAGGGUAACGGCCUACCAAGACGGCGAUCAGUAGCCGGCCUGAGAGGGUGAACGGCCACACUGGGACUGAGACACGGCCCAGACUCCUGCGGGAGGCAGCAGUGGGGAAUAUUGCACAAUGGGGGAAACCCUGAUGCAGCGACGCCGCGUGAGCGAGGAAGUAUUUCGGUAUGUAAAGCUCUGUCAGCAGGGAAGAAGAAUGACGGUACCUGAAGAAGAAGCACCGGCUAAAUACGUGCCAGCAGCCGCGGUAAUACGUAUGGUGCAAGCGUUAUCCGGAUUUACUGGGUGUAAAGGGAGCGCAGGCGGUUCUGCAAGUCUGAUGUGAAAGCCCGGGGCUCAACCGCGGGACUGCAUUGGAAACUGCGGGACUGGAGUGUCGGAGGGGUAAGCGGAAUUCCUGGUGUAGCGGUGAAAUGCGUAGAUAUCAGGAGGAACACCGGUGGCGAAGGCGGCUUACUGGACGAUGACUGAC
This 736-nucleotide ribosomal RNA is filed under the name uncultured bacterium. RNAcentral's name for it is "bacterial SSU rRNA". It matches the Rfam family "Bacterial small subunit ribosomal RNA", at positions 1 to 744 of the family's 1533-position model. The record is from RNAcentral.